GGACAACCUACCCUCCGGACGGGUAUAAACCCGGGAAACUGGGUAUAAUCCCCGAUAGAUCUCGGUCGCUGGAAAGCCCCGAGAUCGAAAGCUCCGGCGCCAGAGGAUGGGUCUGCGGCCUAUCAGGUAGUAGUGGGUGUAGCGUACCUACUAGCCUACGACGGAUACGGGUUGUGGGAGCAAGAGCCCGGAGAUGGAUUCUGAGACAUGAAUCCAGGCCCUACGGGGCGCAGCAGGCGCGAAAACUUUACAAUGCGGGGAACCGCGAUAAGGGGACACCGAGUGCCAGCAUCCUAUGUUGGCUGUCCAUAUGUCUAAAUCACAUGUGUUAGCAAGGGCCGGGCAAGACCGGUGCCAGCCGCCGCGGUAACACCGGCGGCCCGAGUGGUGGCCACUAUUAUUGGGUCUAAAGGGUCCGUAGCCGGUUUGGUCAGUCUUCCGGGAAAUCUGACGGCUCAACCGUUAGGCUUUCGGGGGAUACUACCAGGCUUGGGACCGGGAGAGGUAAGAGGUACUACGGGGGUAGGAGUGAAAUCUUGUAAUCCCUGUGGGACCACCAGUGGCGAAGGCGUCUUACCAGAACGGGUCCGACGGUGAGGGACGAAAGCUGGGGGCACGAACCGGAUUAGAUACCCGGGUAGUCCCAGCUGUAAACUAUGCUCGCUAGGUGUCAGGGACGGUGCGACCGUUUCUGGUGCCGCAGGGAAGCCGUGAAGCGAGCCACCUGGGAAGUACGGUCGCAAGGCUGAAACUUAA
RNAcentral lists this ribosomal RNA (756 nucleotides) under uncultured archaeon. RNAcentral's name for it is "bacterial SSU rRNA". It matches the Rfam family "Archaeal small subunit ribosomal RNA", at positions 102 to 859 of the family's 1478-position model. The record is from RNAcentral.